This is a long non-coding RNA of Triticum aestivum (bread wheat), 1602 nucleotides long. RefSeq lists it as uncharacterized. Lineage: Eukaryota; Viridiplantae; Streptophyta; Magnoliopsida; Poales; Poaceae. The transcript is spliced from 3 exons. The record is from RefSeq and is a predicted model, not a curated record.
CUGAGCUCCUCCAUGGCCUGCUGCGGUUCCAGGGAGAACAGAAGGAAGGGAGGGGAGGAAGGGCACGGCCAGCAGGCUCUCACCUCUCUUACCUCCAUGCCGCCGUCGACACGACCCCCGAGCCUAGACCACGACCCAUGCGACGGGACCCCGCUGAUGCCGGCGGCGGUGCCGGGUUCCAUGAUCUAUUCGACUUCAUGUGUCGAAUCAUCAAGUCCGCACCAGCACUCCACCGGGCCCCUCAGUGGGAUCGGCGUCCGUAUCAGCUCCUGCCUCUGCAAGUCAAGGGGUAGGCUGCUCGAUCGCAUCUCCAAGAGUCCCUCGCCGCCACAACGCCUGCAGUCGCGGACGGCCGUACCUGUCGACGGGAGCGGCUGAGCAGGGGACAUCCCGCCGAUCCGAUGGCGGAAGGGCGAGAUAAUGGGCAAGUCUACCUCGGGUUGAAUCUGGACACCAGCGAGCUCCUUGCAGUAAACCAGUUGGGCGCUCCUUCGAAACAAGAUUAUCGUGUCCAGGUAUACAGUCCGCCACAAAACUCUCCCGUGCAGUGGGCGUACAGAAGGUACCUUCCUCUCCUGAUUUUGUAUAUGGCAGUGUAGUACUAUGUGGUUAACUGAAAACGAAGAGUAAGCAAAUUAGUUCCUGUCAGAACAACUGUAGCCGGCAUCGCCGCCGUCGCUUAUGGAGCUCCACACCAUUCCCCAAUUGUACGAGAGCAUGUUCAAUCUUCGCCAUUCUAUACUAUGUGCAAAUGGUCAACUCUUUUCCAAACAAGAAGAUAUGAGGAUUAGGCAUAUAUGCCCCAUAAGGUAGCUAUAUUCAUGUGUUGUAGUGUGGAUUAUGGUCACGCUCUGUCUUGGACUGCAGAUAGCUAGGUUAACAAAAAUGGAUACUCUGCAUAUUUUCUGAAUUUUUAGUAAGGUCUACAUGAAUAAGGUUAGCAGUAGUUCUGACUUGGGGCACUGGUUAAUUCUUCACAUGCAGGAACGUGGAGAGAUGGUGGGCUCCAAGCCCAUGGUGAUUUUAUUGUGCUUGCAGCUUGAGAUGUACUUGGUCCAAAUGAAAAUCAUCAUUUUGAAGGGCAACUUCGCAUGGAAUUAGGAUCACUUAAUAAGGUUCUGGUUUCUUUUUCAAAUUCACUUGCUUUAUGCAUGAACCUAUUAUAGAUUUGUUGGUGUUGAUUUGCAGUAAGAGCAAAUGUAAUAUUGUUCUCAUCAAUUUCUUUCAUAGCAUGUGUAAUGCGUUAUAACAUCAGUUUCAUUGGAUUGGAAAAGGUGAUAAACAUGCAACCAUUCUUACUCGAUGAUAUGAAUACUUCAGGAGCAAUGGUGGCAUUUGUUUGCACAUUAGUAUUCCAUUAUGUAGUAAAGGAUAUGGUCUGGUAGUCAUUCUUUAUCGUUAUAGUUAUUGUCAAAUGGUGGAAUAUUGCUGCCUAGCAGCUCUGGUUCAUGCGUGUGUGAAAAACAAUGUAAAAUCAUUUUUGUUGCUGUAGAAUCUCAUGAGUCGUAUGAAAAAGAAGGCUAGGAUAUUUAUAUUUUUUAAUUGUUCAGCUGCUUGUGUUACAGAUCUGGGCAUACCUUUUGUUUGAGAUAAAUUUGGGCA